ACCCCUAGACCAGGUUCUUUUGUGGUUCAUAAGUGUGAUGAUUGGGUUUUUUGCUCAUGUGUGAGAUGUGCCUCCCUCAAACCUCGUUAUGAUGUCGGCACAUCACCCAUCUGACUUGGAAAAAAAAAAAUCCCUGCACCAAAGGCUGUUCUGGUUCCAUCUAACCAUGCUUGAAAGCAAACUUCAAAAAGAUUAACUGUUUCCAACAUAAUGGACAAUGAGCGGGAGGGAAACUGAUCAACAUAAACAGACCCAGAAAUAACAUAGAUGCAGGAGUUAGUAGACAAGGACAUCAAAACAGUUAUAACUACAUUCCAUAUGUUCAAGAAGGUGGAGAAAAAUGUGAGCAUAUUAAAGAUAUAAAAAGAUAUUUUAAGAGAGCCUUAAAGUUGGGAGAGGAGCACCUCAAAGCUUGAGGUAUCUCUGAUAUGUAAAAAGAAAGCAGCAACAUCCACUUUCCUUAUCUGGUGUGAUCAUGCCUACUAAUGCACACCACAUAUCUCUCCAAAAUAAGUUUGUCAUUUGCAGUCCUCUCCAUUUGUCCCGUGGCUGACUUUGACCUCUCUCUACUGUGUUGUGCCUGACUCUUUCACUGAGAGCCUCAGGCUCAGAUUUCACAAUCCUUGUCCCAAUCAAACUUAGCUGACUCUAGUCUCAACCCCACAGGACCAUGCUGCCUACCACUCAACAGGAGCUAAAAUGAAAAAGUUGUGAAGGACUUAAUGAGUUACUGCUCCUUGGUAGGGAACUUAGAGAAUCCAGAGACAGACCAAAACUGAAGCUCAUCCCUAGUGAGGGGACCUUUCCCAUUUUGGAGACAGAUUGUGCUGUACUGAUGACCAUGUGCAUAAACAAGCCUCUUCUCUCCACUCUUCAACCUUGUCUUUAAAAACAGGCCUGUCCCAGCAUGUGGGGAAAACAUACAAAGCAUGUUGAACUCAGAUAUGAAUCUGAAUGCUGUGGAAAACAGCCAAAAAAGUGGCAUCUUCUCCACCACUGACGAUCCUUUGCAUCCCUCUCCUCCUUGAGAUGCAGGAAAAAAAAGUCUGAUUUGUUGGCAUCAGACCUAGUCUUUAGAUGGGAAAACUAAUAAACAUCAACCUUGAAGACAAGAGACAAACAUUUCUUCUCCAGAAAUAUACUGGGGGUGUUAAGAAAUGUUCUUUCACUUUAAGAGCAAUACCAGCACAACCUUUCCAUUUCAGUCGAGAAGUCUGGUCCACGAUGUCCUAGGUAGACCGUGAAGCUCUGAAGAACAUGUGCCUUGCACUUGCUCCUGGUUCAAUUUGUCCAUUGCUCAUCAUAAAUCUCAGAGACACCGGAGAGAACCAAGCAUCACCAACAGUGACUGAUAUGGUUUGGCUGUGUCCCCACCCAAAUCUCAUCUUGAAUUGUAAUCCCCAUAAUCCCCCCGAGUCGUGGGAGAGACCUGCUGGGAGGUAAUUGAAUCAUGGGGGUGGUUUCCCCUAUGCUGUUCUCGUGAUAGUGACAGAGUUCUCACAAGACCUGAUGGUUUUAUAAGCGUCUGGCAUUUCCCCUGCUGGCACUCUUUCUCUCCUGCUGCUCUGUGAAGAGGUGCCUCCUAUCAUGAUUGUAAGUUUCCUGAGGCCUCUCUACUCAGGCAUAACUGUGUCAAUUAACCUCUUUUCUUUAUAAAUUACCAGACUUGGGUAUUUCUUCAUAGCAGCAUGAGAACAUAUGAAUACAAUGACCAGUUAUGGAUGAGAAGUGCCCAACUGCACAAUCUUAUCGAUUUCAUACCACCAGGUCUCACAGAAAUGGUACGGAGAUGUCUCAAGCAAGAUCAAAUCAGA
RNAcentral lists this long non-coding RNA (1814 nucleotides) under Homo sapiens (human). RNAcentral describes it as "non-protein coding lnc-FOXQ1-15:1". The stretch from base 14 to 116 matches the Rfam family "Small nucleolar RNA U13". Lineage: Eukaryota; Metazoa; Chordata; Mammalia; Primates; Hominidae. The record is from RNAcentral.